This 429-nucleotide ribosomal RNA is filed under the name Chloroflexota bacterium. RNAcentral's name for it is "Chloroflexi bacterium partial 16S ribosomal RNA". It matches the Rfam family "Bacterial small subunit ribosomal RNA", at positions 355 to 776 of the family's 1533-position model. The record is from RNAcentral. Lineage: Bacteria; Bacillati; Chloroflexota.
UUGGGAAUAUUGCACAAUUGGCGCAAGCCUGAUGCAGCCAUGCCGCGUGUAUGAAGAAGGCCUUCGGGUUGUAAAGUACUUUCAGCGGGGAGGAAGGGAGUAAAGUUAAUACCUUUGCUCAUUGACGUUACCCGCAGAAGAAGCACCGGCUAACUCCGUGCCAGCAGCCGCGGUAAUACGGACGGUCCAAGCGUUAAUCGGAAUUACUGGGCGUAAAGCGCACGCAGGCGGUUUGUUAAGUCAGAUGUGAAAUCCCCGGGCUCAACCUGGGAACUGCAUCUGAUACUGGCAAGCUUGAGUCUCGUAGAGGGGGGUAGAAGUCCAGGUGUAGCGGUGAAAUGCGUAGAGAUCUGGAGGAAUACCGGUGGCGAAGGCGGCCCCCUGGACGAAGACUGACGCUCAGGUGCGAAAGCGUGGGGAGCAAACAGG